RNAcentral lists this long non-coding RNA (654 nucleotides) under Sus scrofa (pig). RNAcentral's name for it is "lncRNA (ENSSSCG00060057847.1)". The record is from RNAcentral. Lineage: Eukaryota; Metazoa; Chordata; Mammalia; Artiodactyla; Suidae.
ACUGGGUCUCUGCCUGCAACCUUGCUCCCGCAGGGCAUGCACAUGGGCAUAUAUAGUUGUAUUUUCCCAUAAUUAAAGUACUAGUCACCGCUCCAGUGGCCACCACACCAAGGCACAGUCCCCUGCCCCACCUCAUUCAACGCCACUCCCUCCCCGUGACCCAUGAGGAAGGGAAGCAGGGCGUCCAUACCCUGGUCACCAAGCUCCACGUGCAAGCAGGGCCAGGCGUGAACUGGGAGCCAAGUCGAUCAGUCUGCACGGGGCUGAGAGAAUGGAAGUUUUUCCUCUCACGGCUCUGGAGGCUGGAUGUCCAAGAUCAACCGUCUGGCAGAGGGACACACUUCACCUAGGACGUGAACCGAAUGGCCUCACCAGGCCUAUUGUUUCAGCUGUGUACAGCUGUAAGGACCAAACAAGUCAGCCUGAGAAGAAACCACAUGGAUUUUCCAUAGAAACCCACUGAAUGAGAGAAUUUCAAAAUGGAAUGCAAGAGUUUCCGUGUGGGAAGAGGGAAAAGUUCUGGGGAUGACAGUGGCGAUGGCUGCACACCAGUGUGAAGGCAUUUAAUGAACCGUACCCUGGCGAAUGACAGCUCUUAUGUUCUGUGUACUUUGCCACAAUAAAGACAAAAGUCUCUUCCCGCUGCUAGAAGGA